This 267-nucleotide ribosomal RNA is filed under the name uncultured bacterium. Its description in RNAcentral is "partial 16S ribosomal RNA". It matches the Rfam family "Bacterial small subunit ribosomal RNA", at positions 94 to 354 of the family's 1533-position model. The record is from RNAcentral.
AGUGGCGAACGGGUGAGUAACACGUGGGCAACCUGCCCAAAAGAGGGGGAUAACACUUGGAAACAGGUGCUAAUACCGCAUAACCAUAGUUACCGCAUGGUAACUAUGUAAAAGGUGGCUAUACUACCGCUUUUGGAUGGGGCCCGCGGCGCAUUAGCUAGUUGGUAGGGUAAAGGCUUACCAAGGCAAUGAUGCGUAGCCGAAUUGAGAGGUUGAUCGGCCACAUUGGGACUGAGACACGGCCCAAACUCCUACGGGAGGCAGCAG